Molecule: small nuclear RNA, 163 nt
Organism: Diorhabda carinulata
Lineage: Eukaryota; Metazoa; Arthropoda; Insecta; Coleoptera; Chrysomelidae
Product: U1 spliceosomal RNA
Exons: 1
Source: RefSeq, a predicted model, not a curated record
AUACUUACCUGGCGUAGGGCUUACUGUGAUCAUUAAGGCGGUUCCUCCAGGAUGAGGCCCUUUCAUUACACUACGGUUGGGCUGACUCUUGCAAUUAUACCUAAUGUGGAUAACUCCGGCGCGGUAUUUUUGGUAGUCGGGACUGCGUACGCGCUGACCCGAA